AUUGAACGCUGGCGGAAUGCUUUACACAUGCAAGUCGAGCGGCAGCGCGGGGCAACCUGGCGGCGAGCGGCGAACGGGUGAGUAAUGCAUCGGAACAUGUCCAUGUCGUGGGGGGAUAGCCCGGCGAAAGCCGGAUUAAUACCGCAUACGCUCGAGAGAGGAAAGCCGGGGACCGCAAGGCCUGGCGCGAUUGGGUUGGCCGAUGUCCGAUUAGCUAGUUGGUGAGGUAAAGGCUUACCAAGGCGAUGAUCGGUAGCUGGUCUGAGAGGAUGAUCAGCCACACUGGGACUGAGACACGGCCCAGACUCCUACGGGAGGCAGCAGUGGGGAAUUUUGGACAAUGGGGGCAACCCUGAUCCAGCCAUUCCGCGUGAGU
RNAcentral lists this ribosomal RNA (376 nucleotides) under uncultured bacterium. RNAcentral describes it as "bacterial SSU rRNA". It matches the Rfam family "Bacterial small subunit ribosomal RNA", at positions 29 to 406 of the family's 1533-position model. The record is from RNAcentral.